RNAcentral lists this long non-coding RNA (953 nucleotides) under Theropithecus gelada (gelada). RNAcentral's name for it is "lncRNA (ENSTGEG00000021704.1)". Lineage: Eukaryota; Metazoa; Chordata; Mammalia; Primates; Cercopithecidae. The record is from RNAcentral.
GAACAUGUAUACUUCUCAUUCCCAUGUAUAUAAUCUCUUCCCACAGAAUGAAGUGGACCAAGAACUGGGCUUCAUACGGAUGAAUUUAUUUUUUUCUCCAUGUGGAGACGUGAAGGAAAAGUAUAGGAAAUAAUUCUGCCUCCCACCCACAAGUCCCCAUGGGAAUUUCUCACAUGUUAAAAAGCAUUUUGUCCUGAAAAUAACAACAUUUUUUCUUAGGGAAUCAGGACACUCCAAUGAUGGUGAGACUCUGGCUAUGCCAGUCAGCCAUGGGCUGGUCAUUGACUGUGAUGCUGGUCUCCAUGAUUGAAUAGUGUGGGUCAUUGGUGACAGAUAGCUGUGUGCUCAGUGUCUGCCACGUAUCUCAGAUUCAAAGUCCCUUUUAUAAAUGUGACUGGAUCAUGAUGACUUAAAAAUGGAUCUCGGAAUCUGAGCAAAACGAGUGACCAAACCACUUCUGUGCCAGUUCUGUGAACUGAGGUCCAGCACAGGGACCAUGCCAGGCAAACACGUGGAGAGAGUUCAGUUUGGUCAGCAGCUGGUACCAAAAUGGCCUGUGGUAUUGGAAAACAAACCCACUCACAUAGGUUACAGCACAUGAAUUGUACAGAGGUUAAUGUGGACGAAGAACUAGAUUUCAUGUAAAAGAUUUUAUUCCUUCUACUUGAGGUGUGACUUGAAGGAAAGUAAUGGAAAUAAUUUUGCCCUCCCAUUCUCAAGGGCCGGGGGAAUUCUAAUCUUGAGCGACAUGAACCAAGAACUGGGUUUCAUAUGAAAUAUUUUAUUCUGUCCUCUUGAGAUGUGACAUGAAGAAAAGUGUUGAGAAUAUUUCUAUCACCUCAUCUUCAAGAAUCAGUAGGAAUUCUCCCAUGGUUCCAUGUGAUACUAGAGUUGCGUGGAUUUUUAAUCUUUACACCAAUGAAGAUCAGAGGUUAACAGUGCCCUUUUUUUAA